AUGGGUUUCUGUCUCCCAUGUCUCCCAUCUCCUAUGGUUCACAAUUCAACAUUGUCCAGAUGCGGUCUCACUGAAACUGAAGAAAACAGCUUGUGGAGUAAGAUGUUAUUCAAGAGAAGCCAAAAGGGCAGAAUCUGGCCCACCCUUAAUAAUUCAGGGCUAGAGUGUGCCACAAGGAUGCAGCUCAUAUGAAUUAGCAGCAUGUUGUACCAUCCCAGGAAAUGAAGUCCUCAUCAGUUUCAGUGAAGGAAUUUCCUCAUUGUCAACCCAUGGCAGUGUUUGAUUGUAGCAACAAUCCAGAAUGGACCUAGGAUAACACCGUGUCCCAGAAAGCUGGAUAUGUGACACAUCCACAACAUCCUUCUUGAGAUCUAUUCUCUGCCCUCAAAUCAACCUACUCAUACUGUUAAGAAUAGUCCAGUAAGGAACAGUGGAUGAAUGGGAAUGACUUAUAAAUCAGAGUCAUGUUUCCUUUUCUUUCACCUUUGUGUUAAUGGACAAAUAAAUUACUGCAGGUUCAAAAGGCUGUAAAUGUU
Molecule: long non-coding RNA, 536 nt
Filed under: Anas platyrhynchos platyrhynchos (common mallard)
Lineage: Eukaryota; Metazoa; Chordata; Aves; Anseriformes; Anatidae
Description: lncRNA (ENSAPLG00000028400.1)
Source: RNAcentral